Long non-coding RNA from Pungitius pungitius (ninespine stickleback), 599 nucleotides. RefSeq lists it as uncharacterized. Lineage: Eukaryota; Metazoa; Chordata; Actinopteri; Perciformes; Gasterosteidae. The transcript has 2 exons. The record is from RefSeq and is a predicted model, not a curated record.
CCCCCCUUCCAAAGUCCUCCCUCUCCCUGGUUGGUUUCCACAGCUGUGGUGAGUGAGGGGCAGAUGACCGGAGAAUUGGCCCCUGGGAGAGCGCUGAGCCAUCCUGGUGCUAUUAGGCUCGUGGCUAAUAAUAGGUGUUUCAGACCAGGGGAAGAUCAAUCAGGGGGAAUCAUGGGGAAUGUUCGGAGCAGCGCUUUUUACACAUCGGCCCAGAUGGAUGAAAUUACACUUGUCAGUUUUUAGUUGCAUUACUCCCAAAUUGGUUGUCUACUCUUUUUUCCCCCCCUCUUUCUCUCUCUCUCUCUCUCUCUCCCUCCCUCGCUCUCUCUUCUCUUCUCUCCUUCUCUCGCGUUGCCCUCAUUCAUGUGUCAGUGGCCCGCUAAAGGGAUUCAAUGGUGAAAUCCCUGUCAUUUUUGUCUUUUUGGUGUUUAGCCCUCAGCCAGCGACUGUGGCCUGCAGAUGCACUUUGAAGAAAUCCGUUUCAGGUCUGGUCUCAUGACUCGGGCAUUUGACAUGUUGAGGACAGGUGUGCGGGUGUCUAUUUUGCUAUAUUGGUGGGUUUAUACUGUUGACCGUGUAAUAAAGGAUAAGAAUUGUGA